CCCCUAGAUGUUCUGGGCCGCACGCGCGCUACACUGAACAGUUCAACAAGUCUUAACCUUGGCCGAUAGGUCUGGGUAAUCUUUGAACGCUGUUCGUGAUUGGGAUAGACCUUUGCAAUUAUGGGUCUUCAACGAGGAAUUCCUAGUAAACGCAAGUCAUCAGCUUGCAUUGAUUACGUCCCUGCCCUUUGUACACACCGCCCGUCGCACCUACCGAUUGAAUGGUCCGGUGAAAUCUCGGGACGGCGGCUUGGUCGCUUGCGUCCGACUGCUGAAACUUGAUUAAACCAUAUCNUUNNNAGGAAGGUGAAGUCGUAACA
RNAcentral lists this ribosomal RNA (320 nucleotides) under uncultured eukaryote. Its description in RNAcentral is "partial 18S ribosomal RNA". It matches the Rfam family "Eukaryotic small subunit ribosomal RNA", at positions 1470 to 1796 of the family's 1831-position model. The record is from RNAcentral.